CACCAAAACCACCGGCAGUAAAACCUCCUAAACCCCCCACCAAACCUCCCACCCUUAAACCACACCCCCACCCUAAACCUCCCACCGUUAGACCACAUCCACACCCUAAGCCCCCUACCAAACCUCAUCCCAUCCCAAAACCGCCCACCGUUAAACCACCACCCUCCACACCCAAACCGCCCACAAAACCACCCACCGUUAAACCACCUCCAUCCACCCCUAAGCCGCCCACCAAACCACCCACCGUCAAACCACCACCCUCCACCCCAAAACCGCCCACCAAGCCACCCACCGUCAAACCACCUCCGUCCACCCCUAAACCACCUACCCACAAGCCACCAACAGUGUGCCCACCGCCAACACCAACACCAACCCCACCUGUUGUAACGCCACCAACACCACCAACACCAACUCCACCAGUCGUUACGCCACCAACACCAGCCCCACCUGUUGUAACGCCACCAACACCAACACCACCGGUCGUAACGCCACCGACACCAACCCCUCCUGUCGUAACACCUCCAACACCACCGGUCGUAACGCCACCGACACCAACUCCUCCUGUCGUAACACCACCAACACCACCGGUCGUAACGCCACCGACACCAACCCCUCCUGUCGUAACACCUCCAACACCACCGGUCGUAACGCCACCGACACCAACCCCUCCUGUCGUAACACCACCAACACCAACUCCACCUAAGCCAGAAACGUGCCCAAUCGACACGUUGAAGCUAGGCGCUUGUGUAGACGUUCUUGGAGGUUUAAUUCACAUCGGGCUUGGUGGAAGUAGCGCCAAGAAAGAGUGUUGUCCGGUUUUGGGAGG
This 826-nucleotide long non-coding RNA is filed under the name Brassica rapa (field mustard). RNAcentral's name for it is "long non-coding RNA (BRAP_LNC003747)". The record is from RNAcentral. Lineage: Eukaryota; Viridiplantae; Streptophyta; Magnoliopsida; Brassicales; Brassicaceae.